RNAcentral lists this ribosomal RNA (552 nucleotides) under Debaryomyces hansenii. RNAcentral describes it as "partial large subunit ribosomal RNA". It matches the Rfam family "Eukaryotic large subunit ribosomal RNA", at positions 80 to 647 of the family's 3401-position model. The record is from RNAcentral. Lineage: Eukaryota; Fungi; Ascomycota; Pichiomycetes; Serinales; Debaryomycetaceae.
UUAGUAACGGCGAGUGAAGCGGCAAAAGCUCAAAUUUGAAAUCUGGCACCUUCGGUGUCCGAGUUGUAAUUUGAAGAAGGUAACUUUGGAGUUGGCUCUUGUCUAUGUUCCUUGGAACAGGACGUCACAGAGGGUGAGAAUCCCGUGCGAUGAGAUGCCCAAUUCUAUGUAAAGUGCUUUCGAAGAGUCGAGUUGUUUGGGAAUGCAGCUCUAAGUGGGUGGUAAAUUCCAUCUAAAGCUAAAUAUUGGCGAGAGACCGAUAGCGAACAAGUACAGUGAUGGAAAGAUGAAAAGAACUUUGAAAAGAGAGUGAAAAAGUACGUGAAAUUGUUGAAAGGGAAGGGCUUGAGAUCAGACUUGGUAUUUUGCGAUCCUUUCCUUCUUGGUUGGGUUCCUCGCAGCUUACUGGGCCAGCAUCGGUUUGGAUGGUAGGAUAAUGACUAAGGAAUGUGGCUCUACUUCGGUGGAGUGUUAUAGCCUUGGUUGAUACUGCCUGUCUAGACCGAGGACUGCGUCUUUUGACUAGGAUGUUGGCAUAAUGAUCUUAAGCCA